This 2143-nucleotide ribosomal RNA is filed under the name Dyadobacter sp. CY261. Its description in RNAcentral is "partial 23S ribosomal RNA". It matches the Rfam family "Bacterial large subunit ribosomal RNA", at positions 1 to 2227 of the family's 2925-position model. Lineage: Bacteria; Pseudomonadati; Bacteroidota; Cytophagia; Cytophagales; Spirosomataceae. The record is from RNAcentral.
GCGCAAGCGAAUUAAGGGCGCAUGGGGGAUACCUAGGCUCUCAGAGGCGAUGAAGGACGUGAUAAGCUGCGAAAAGCUACGGGGAGCAGCACAUAUGCAUUGAUCCGUAGAUAUCCGAAUGGGGCAACCCAGUCAGGUGAAGCCUGAUUACCCUACGGGGGGCAAACGCGGGGAACUGAAACAUCUAAGUACCCGCAGGAGAAGAAAACAAUAGUGAUUCCGUAAGUAGUGGCGAGCGAACACGGACAAGCCCAAACCAGCCUGGUUACGGCCAAGCUGGGGUUGUAGGACCCACCAAGUGGAUAAAUAGCGAACUGGAAUGGCAUGGGAAGGCCAAUCGAAGAGGGUGAGAAUCCCGUACAGGCAGUGAUUUUAUCUGAGUGGGUAUCCUGAGUAAGUGGGGACCGGUGAAAUCCCCUCUGAAUCCGGCGGCACCAUCCGCCAAGGCUAAAUACUCCUGAGAGACCGAUAGUGAACGAGUACCGUGAGGGAAAGGUGAAAAGUACCGCGAGCAGCGGGGUGAAAUAGAACUUGAAACCAUGCGCUUACAAGCGGUCGGAGCCUUCGGGUGACGGCGUGCCUUUUGCAUAAUGAGCCUACGAGUUACGGUUACUGGCAAGGUUAAUGUAUGAAGUACAGGAGCCGAAGCGAAAGCGAGUCUGAAAUGGGCGAUUAGUCAGUGGCCGUAGACGCGAAACUUUGUGAUCUACCCAUGAUCAGGUUGAAGCGCUGGUAACACAUCGUGGAGGACCGAACCGGUAAACGUUGAAAAGUUUUCGGAUGAAUUGUGGGUAGGGGUGAAAGGCCAAUCAAACUGAGAAAUAGCUCGUACUCCCCGAAAUGUUUUUAGGAACAGCGUCGUGGUUGAGUCAUGUUCAGGUAGAGCUACUGAUAGGACUAGGGGGAGUCAAAUCCUACCAAAUUCUGACAAACUCCGAAUGGGGCAUGAUAUACACGGCAGUGAGGGCUGGGGUGCUAAGGUCCCAGUCCGAGAGGGGAACAACCCAGAGCAUCAGCUAAGGUCCCAAAAUAUAUGCUAAGUUGAACUAAGGGGGUCCGACUGCAGAGACAGCCAGGAUGUUAGCUUGGAAGCAGCUAUACAUUUAAAGAGUGCGUAACAGCUCACUGGUCGAGCGGGGCGGGCAUCGAUAAUAAACGGGCAUCAAGCAUAUUACCGAAGCUAUGCGAUUGUAUUUAUACAUAUCGGUAGGGGAGCAUUCUCACAGGGGUGAAGGUUUGGCGUGAGCUGGGCUGGACUGGUGAGAAAAGCAAAUGUAGGCAUAAGUAACGAUAAUGCGGAUGAGAAAUCCGCACACCGAAAGACUAAGGAUUCCUCCGCUAUGCUAAUCAACGGAGGGUUAGGCGGGGCCUAAGGAAUAGCCGACAGGCGAUCUCCGAUGGACAGCAGGUUAAUAUUCCUGCCCCUGCAUGCAGUGUGAAAGAGUGACGGAGCGACGUGGUGUGUACGUACUGACGGAAUAGUGCGUUGAGCCGAGCCUACGGGCAAAGCGAACAUGCGAAGACGCUUCCAAGAAAAGCUUUUGAAACACCAGCUGUAUGCAGCCCGUACCGUAAACCGACACAGGUAGUCGAGAAGAAUAUUCUAAGGUGCUCGAGUGAAUCACGGCUAAGGAACUCGGCAAAUUAACCCUGUAACUUCGGGAGAAGGGGAGCCUCCUCUGCAAAGAGAGGCCGCAGAGAAAUGGCCCAGGCGACUGUUUAGCAAAAACACAGGGCUCUGCCAAAACGAAAGUUGACGUAUAGGGCCUGACACCUGCCCGGUGCUGGAAGGUUAAGAGGGGAUGUCAUCGCAAGAGAAGCAUUGAAUCGAAGCCCCAGUAAACGGCGGCCGUAACUAUAACGGUCCUAAGGUAGCGAAAUUCCUUGUCGGGUAAGUUCCGACCUGCACGAAUGGUGUAACGAUCUGGGCACUGUCUCGGCCGUGAGCUCGGUGAAAUUGUAGUAGCGGUGAAGAUGCCGCUUACCCGCCACGGGACGGAAAGACCCCGUGCACCUUUACUAUAGCUUUGCAUUGUUUUCGGGUCAGGGAUGUGUAGGAUAGGUGGGAGGCUGUGAACCGGUGUCGCCAGGCAUCGGGGAGCCAACGUUGAAAUACCACCCUUCGCUGGCCUGGGAUCUAACU